CAACCUCAACUCAUAUGGGACUACCCCCUGAAUUUAAGCAUAUUAAUUAGGGGAGGAAAAGAAACUAACAAGGAUUUUCUUAGUAGCGGCGAGCGAAAAGAAAUCAGUUCAGCACUAAGUCACUUUGUCUAUAUGGCAAAUGUGAGAUGCAGUGUACGGAACAUCAACAUUCUAGUAUGAGAAGUUAACGAUUUAAGUCCUUCUUAAAUGAGGCCAUUUACCCAUAGAGGGUGCCAGGCCCGUAUAACGUUAAUGAUUACUAGAUGGUGUUUCCAAAGAGUCGUGUUGCUUGAUAGUGCAGCACUAAGUGGGUGGUAAACUCCAUCUAAAACUAAAUAUAACCCAUGAGACCGAUAGUAAACAAGUACCGUGAGGGAAAGUUGAAAAGAACUCUGAAUAGAGAGUUAAAUAGUACGUGAAACUGCUUAGAGGUUAAGCCCGAUGAACCUGAAUAUCCGUUAUGGAAAAUUCAUCAUUAGAAUUGUAAUAUUUUAAACAAUAUUAUAAUAAUAGUGUGCAUUUUUUCCAUAUAAGGACAUUGUAAUCUAUUAGCAUAAAUAUUUAUCAUAAAAUUAUGUCUGAUUGCUUAUUUGAAUUAUAUGCUUGGCAUUUUAACAUAAAAUAAAAGAUAUAAAUUUGAUAAAGUGCUGAUAGAUUUAUAUGAUUACAGUGCGUUAAUUUUUCGGAAUUAUAUAAUGGCAUAAUUAUCAUUGAUAUUUGUGUUUAUUAUAUGCAUUUGUAUGAUUAACAAUGCGAAAGAUUCAGGAUACCUUCGGGA
RNAcentral lists this non-coding RNA (778 nucleotides) under Drosophila virilis. RNAcentral's name for it is "Eukaryotic large subunit ribosomal RNA". It matches the Rfam family "Eukaryotic large subunit ribosomal RNA", at positions 1 to 647 of the family's 3401-position model. Lineage: Eukaryota; Metazoa; Arthropoda; Insecta; Diptera; Drosophilidae. The record is from Rfam by way of RNAcentral.